RNAcentral lists this ribosomal RNA (484 nucleotides) under uncultured bacterium. RNAcentral's name for it is "partial 16S ribosomal RNA". It matches the Rfam family "Bacterial small subunit ribosomal RNA", at positions 30 to 507 of the family's 1533-position model. The record is from RNAcentral.
AUUGAACGCUGGCGGCAGGCCUAACACAUGCAAGUCGAGCGGAUGAAGGGAGCUUGCUCCUGGAUUCAGCGGCGGACGGGUGAGUAAUGCCUAGGAAUCUGCCUGGUAGUGGGGGAUAACGUCCGGAAACGGGCGCUAAUACCGCAUACGUCCUGAGGGAGAAAGUGGGGGAUCUUCGGACCUCACGCUAUCAGAUGAGCCUAGGUCGGAUUAGCUAGUUGGUGGGGUAAAGGCCUACCAAGGCGACGAUCCGUAACUGGUCUGAGAGGAUGAUCAGUCACACUGGGACUGAGACACGGACCAGACUCCUACGGGAGGCAGCAGUGGGGAAUGUUGGACAAGGGGCGAAAGCCUGACCAAGCGAUGCCGCGUGAGUGAAGAAGGUCUUCGGAUUGUAAAGCGCUUUAGGUUGGGAGGAAGGGUAGUAAAUUAAUAACUUGCUGUGUUGACGUUACCAACAGAAAAAGCACCGGCUAACUUCGUG